RNAcentral lists this ribosomal RNA (447 nucleotides) under Triticum aestivum (bread wheat). RNAcentral's name for it is "partial small subunit ribosomal RNA". The record is from RNAcentral. Lineage: Eukaryota; Viridiplantae; Streptophyta; Magnoliopsida; Poales; Poaceae.
AUGUUCGCUCCCGCCUCUGGUGGCUCUCAAUUUUGGCGUCAUCUCGUUAGCAUUAGGCUGGCUUUCCAGUCCCUUGUGAAGUUCGUUGUCCGUAACGAGUUGGAAGAUUGGCAUCGCCUUAUUGCCUGCUUCCCCCUGCUCUCGAAGGAAGAGGACUAUGUUUCUUGGCCCCACUCCUCUUCGGGGCGUUUUUUGGUAAAGUCGGCGUAUUCAAAACUCAUCGCUGGUACCCGCACUGACAAGUUUAAGUACAUUUGGUCUGCCCGCAUCCCUCCCAAGAUCAAGAUCUUCCUCUGGCAAGCUCAUUGUCGCAAACUUCCAGCGGCUGACCAGAUUAAGAAGAGGAAUGGUCCGGGCUCGGACUUCUGCCAGCUCUGCGACUUUGGCUUGGGGUUAAUUGGAACCCUUCCUCCUUUGAGGAUUUGCGGCAGUGCAUCAAUUCCCUAG